UCGGUCUGUGUGAAGGAAGUAUCAUUUUGUAUUAGACUAUUAAACACUGGUCAACUUUAUGAAAACGAAUUGGGAUGCAACUGUGAUCAAACAUUUUGAGAAUAUUUCACCUGGGCCGUUUUGAUCGUGAAAAGGGGCUACGUACAUGGCACUUCUCCCCGAAGGAAGGUCUAUGCGAGCACCGAGACUCUCGUGAUAGUGCCAGACAGUUAAUUUUUUUUCGUUUUUUGACAGCAGGUCAUUGUGGAGUCAUUGUGAUCCUGUUUCGAUUUUCCUAAUUUGUGCCUCAACAUUCCUACCUGAGAUGACUCUCAAAGAUAGUUUUAUGAGAGCUACGCUGCUUAUGAGAAUAGCCGUGAUAGUUGCCUUUGUUGCACAGGCAUGCAGUUGGGUCUCCUUUACAACCACGUCAUGGACUAGAGGAUAUUUUGAUCCUCUAGAAGGGAGAAGCCUUCCUUACAUAGGAUUGUGGAGAUCAUGCAGCUAUUCACCACCUAAAUUUGCUAGUGGAUGCAAUUUUUUGGAUGGGACACCUUCCGAUGCUUUAGCUAUGACUCAGGCAUUUGGAAUAGUGGGUUUUGUUGGCCUAAAUCUGGGUUUUCUUCUUGUUGUUCUAAAAAUAUUCACGGAUAAAUUGAAAGGGAACUCGGAGUCACUUCUUAUUGCGGGAAUAUCUAUGAUUGUAUCAGGUGAACGACCUGAAUUCGAUCUCGCGUGCUAAAGACUCUCAGCUUCAUCUCAAGCCAGUGCACUAACCACUGUGUUAGCGAUCUCUUGGCUUUUGGCUUUCAUCAUCUUUUUAAUAAUGUACGCGCCGAGUUCCUCCUUGCUUGGCUAUUCAUUUCUUCUAGCUGGGUUUUCUUUCAUUUUGGCAGCAGUAGCUGGAGUACUUGUGUUGUGUGCCCGCUCUUAGUAGAACCAGUGCACGCACAUUUUGACUUUUGACGUUGGGACACAGAUGUUGAUGACGCAAUUCACAGUUAGGACAUUUGUAAUUGUGUGCGAGAUAUACACACUAUCGGAGAGAGAGAGAAAGAGAGAGAGAGAGAGACAAAGAAUUUUAAAAAAUAAAAGAGUGGAUAUAGUAAUGUUUAAAUGUCCCCAUAUGUGUUAAAAGUGCAAGCGCUUUGAAUAAAUAGGAAGUAUUUUCUUGGU
Biomphalaria glabrata is the source of this 1155-nucleotide RNA transcript. RefSeq lists it as uncharacterized. Lineage: Eukaryota; Metazoa; Mollusca; Gastropoda; Planorbidae. The record is from RefSeq and is a predicted model, not a curated record. The transcript is spliced from 7 exons.